Molecule: ribosomal RNA, 331 nt
Filed under: Pseudomonas sp. SE-1-11
Lineage: Bacteria; Pseudomonadati; Pseudomonadota; Gammaproteobacteria; Pseudomonadales; Pseudomonadaceae
Description: bacterial SSU rRNA
Rfam family: Bacterial small subunit ribosomal RNA
Source: RNAcentral
CGGCGGACGGGUGAGUAAUGCCUAGGAAUCUGCCUGGUAGUGGGGGACAACGUUUUCGAAAGGAACGCUAAUACCGCAUACGUCCUACGGGAGAAAGCAGGGGACCUUCGGGCCUUGCGCUAUCAGAUGAGCCUAGGUCGGAUUAGCUAGUUGGUGAGGUAAUGGCUCACCAAGGCGACGAUCCGUAACUGGUCUGAGAGGAUGAUCAGUCACACUGGAACUGAGACACGGUCCAGACUCCUACGGGAGGCAGCAGUGGGGAAUAUUGGACAAUGGGCGAAAGCCUGAUCCAGCCAUGCCGCGUGUGUGAAGAAGGUCUUCGGAUUGUAAA